AUACGUAGGGGGCGAGCGUUGUCCGGAAUGAUUGGGCGUAAAGGGCGCGUAGGCGGCCCGGUAAGUCUGGAGUGAAAGUCCUGUUUUUAAGAUGGGAAUUGCUUUGGAUACUGUCGGGCUUGAGUGCAGGAGAGGUAAGUGGAAUUCCCAGUGUAGCGGUGAAAUGCGUAGAGAUUGGGAGGAACACCAGUGGCGAAGGCGACUUACUGUACUGUAACUGACGCUGAGGCGCGAAAGUGUGGGGAGCAAACAGGAUUAGAUACCCUGGUAGUCCACACUGUAAACGAUGAAUGCUAGGUGUAGGGGGUAUCGACCCCUUCUGUGCCGCAGUCAACACAAUAAGCAUUCCGCCUGGGGAGUACGGCCGCAAGGUUGAAACUUAAAGGAAUUGACGGGG
This 397-nucleotide ribosomal RNA is filed under the name uncultured bacterium. RNAcentral describes it as "partial 16S ribosomal RNA". It matches the Rfam family "Bacterial small subunit ribosomal RNA", at positions 523 to 918 of the family's 1533-position model. The record is from RNAcentral.